GAUGAACGCUGGCGGCGUGCUUAACACAUGCAAGUCGAGCGAAGCACUUAAGUUUGAUUCUUCGGAUGAAGACUUUUGUGACUGAGCGGCGGACGGGUGAGUAACGCGUGGGUAACCUGCCUCAUACAGGGGGGUAACAGUUAGAAAUGACUGCUAAUACCGCAUAAGACCACAGUACCGCAUGGUACAGUGGUAAAAACUCCGGUGGUAUGAGAUGGACCCGCGUCUGAUUAGGUAGUUGGUGGGGUAACGGCCUACCAAGCCGACGAUCAGUAGCCGACCUGAGAGGGUGACCGGCCACAUUGGGACUGAGACACGGCCCAGACUCCUACGGGAGGCAGCAGUGGGGAAUAUUGCACAAUGGAGGAAACUCUGAUGCAGCGACGCCGCGUGAAGGAUGAAGUAUUUCGGUAUGUAAACUUCUAUCAGCAGGGAAGAAAAUGACGGUACCUGACUAAGAAGCCCCGGCUAACUACGUGCCAGCAGCCGCCGUAA
This 495-nucleotide ribosomal RNA is filed under the name uncultured bacterium. RNAcentral's name for it is "partial 16S ribosomal RNA". It matches the Rfam family "Bacterial small subunit ribosomal RNA", at positions 28 to 523 of the family's 1533-position model. The record is from RNAcentral.